Molecule: long non-coding RNA, 465 nt
Organism: Chinchilla lanigera (long-tailed chinchilla)
Lineage: Eukaryota; Metazoa; Chordata; Mammalia; Rodentia; Chinchillidae
Exons: 3
Source: RefSeq, a predicted model, not a curated record
AGUCAGCACGGGAAUGGGAAAUCGCUGCCUGCAGGUACAGUGAAAGGUCAGCAGUUGGGUAGCUCUGGCGGCUGGUAGGGCUGUUGGGCCCACAUUUGUAGUAUGGCAAGUAUGCACUAGCAGAAUAUGACUUUGCACAAGAGACCACGAGAACCAAUGUCUUGGAGUAAUUAAAGAAGAGGGCUAAGGACCUUUCUCCACUACUAGUGUUUGCCUCGCAUUCACAUGCCCUGAUUUGAUCCAUGGCAAAUCAAUCAAUCAGUCCAAAUGUAAGGAUAUCUCAACACUUACUUUUAGAAGAUGGAAUCUGAACCUGACUGCAUGAAUGUUACUAUUGUUAUUUUUGCCACACUCAGAUUUUGCUGAGUAAUAUGUGCAAUGCUUAUGCUUGCUGUGUACCUAUGUAUAAAUAUUAUACACUGUAAAAAAUGAAAGUUUUAAUAAAUACCAAAUUUAAGGCCUCAA